GACGAACGCUGGCGGCGUGCUUAACACAUGCAAGUCGAACGAGACGAUUGAAAGCUUGCUUUCGAAAGUCGAGUGGCAAACGGGUGAGUAACGCGUAGACAACCUGCCUUUGAGAUGGGGACAACAGUUCGAAAGGACUGCUAAUACCGAAUGUUGUAUAUUUUCCACAUGGAAGAUAUAUUAAAGAUGGCCUCUAUUUAUAAGCUAUCGCUCAAAGAUGGGUCUGCGUCUGAUUAGCUAGUUGGUGGGGUAACGGCCUACCAAGGCGACGAUCAGUAGCCGGUCUGAGAGGAUGAACGGCCACAUUGGGACUGAGACACGGCCCAGACUCCUACGGGAGGCAGCAGUGGGGAAUCUUCCACAAUGGACGAAAGUCUGAUGGAGCAACGCCGCGUGAGUGAAGAAGGGUUUCGGCUCGUAAAGCUCUGUUGUCGGGGACGAAUGUGCAUUACUUGAAUAAAGUAGUGUAAUGACGGUACCUGACGAGGAAGCCACGGCUAACUACGUGCCAGCCGCCGCCGUAA
This 524-nucleotide ribosomal RNA is filed under the name uncultured bacterium. Its description in RNAcentral is "partial 16S ribosomal RNA". It matches the Rfam family "Bacterial small subunit ribosomal RNA", at positions 28 to 523 of the family's 1533-position model. The record is from RNAcentral.